This is a long non-coding RNA of Solanum pennellii, 1944 nucleotides long. RefSeq lists it as uncharacterized. The transcript is spliced from 2 exons. NCBI's taxonomy places the organism in Eukaryota, Viridiplantae, Streptophyta, Magnoliopsida, Solanales, Solanaceae. The record is from RefSeq and is a predicted model, not a curated record.
CAUUUUCAUUCUCUUUCUCCCAUCUCUCUCAACACCGCCAGCCUCCCCUCUCUUCUCACGUUGUUCCUCCGGUGAGAUUAUCCAUCGCCGAUGAAGGCUUCCUCCCUACUGGCGCCUCAAUAUUCCCGUAUCUUUCCCCUCGUCAUUCCCCUCCCCUCUCCCUCUCUCUCCCUAACUGUCGUAGUCUCCGGCAGGACGCCACCGGAGAAAGCGCAACGUUGGAGACCCCUCUCUUACUCUUUCUCUCCUCUUGUCUUUUUUCCAGUGAAGCUAGCGACAGCAGCAACAGAACACCUGAAGAAGAAACUUGACGAGAUAGCAACAAAAAAUGCAGGGAGACAACAAGCAGCCGGUGAGCUCCAACCGGUGAUCAGAGCACCUCCGGUAAGAGAACCAGCAACAACCACUCUGACUAGCGAGGUCCGCGAGGACCAUCUGCAUGUCAACUGCCAAUCGCUACUCUAAUUAUCCUUAUCGAGAAUUGAGAAUCAAGGCAUUCUGAUAAGGACAAAUAUAUGCAUAUCUGUCCCAGGCGAGUGCAGAAUCUAUUGCUAACAAUCGAAGGAAGAGAACUUUUAAUGUGUCGUCAUUCCAAAUACCAUUGUCAGAUGUGGUGGAGGUAUUAGGUGCGGAGUCUGAAGAGGGACCUGAUAAGGAAAUUGUGGAUGAUUUGAAACAAAAUUUAAAGAAAACCCGAAGGAUCAACUAAGGCUGGUGGUGCUGAGGAAAAAGGAAAAAUAUAGAGAAAAACUUCUGAAGUGGAACCUGAAGAUUAUGAACAGGGAGCUGGUCCACAAGUACAUGUGGAAGACGCAGCUAUCAACAGACAAACAAUUGUUGACAAUCUAAGAACACAAACUGUCGUGGCAGGUAGAGUUUUUGAUAUGAAUAUUGUUAAGCAACCUGGGAUGGCUACUUUACAUGACAUUGUGGUGAUUCAAUCAUGGAUACACCUAUUUGACACCAAGUCUCUUAUUCUCCAUGAGGAAGAAUUAGGUGAGAUCUACUAUAUCAUUGAGUUUCAAGAAGAUGGUAGUAUUAAGAAAAGAGUAGGAAACAUAGAAAUCUAUCUUGUGAAGACUUACUGGGAAACAUCUUAGGAAUACCUUGAGAAGGUAUCAAGUUUGUGGUUGGGAAGACUUGUUCUGUUAAAUUUGUCAAAGUAUGUUCCAAGGUUCCCAUAACUCGAUGCACUGGAUUGCUCAAGAAGUUAAUGAAGAAUGAAUAUCAGUUCGUCUUUGAAUUUGUCAACAAGGUUCUUCUUCCCAGAACAGAGAAGAGGACUUCUGCCACUUCAUCUGAUCUAUUUCUUAUGGAAUUCUUGUGCAAGUUUGAAUCACUGGAACUUCCAGCACUCAUGCUUGAACACAUGUACAAGAUUGUAAUUGAGCGAAAAGGAAGCAUGGAAUGGGUUAUGGAUACUUAUUGACAAAAGUAUUCAAGUACCUAAACAUUCCACUUGGAGUCGGCAAAGUAGGAACUGCCAGCAUUUACUAUAAUUACUCUGGUUAAGUGCGAAUGCUUUGAAGGAAAGGGAAAUCCUAAGAUUAAAGUGUCUCAGUUAAUUGCAGCGCAGGAUCAGAUGAAGCAUGAUUUGGAAGAGAGGACUAUGAGGGUGAGAAGAACAGAUGCUGAGAUUGCUAUUCUUAAGGUUGAACUUCUCAAGGUGCAGACUGAGGAACCUGGUACCUCUCUCAUUCAAGAACUGCAUAGGGAAAAUGCAAAAUUGAGGACCAAGAUUGCUGCACUACAAGAAAAAUCAAUCAAGGACAAUGAUGACGCAAAUGCUAGACUUACUGUCAUCAUUCAGUCCCUUAGCCAUCAGCCUCCCCCCUCAUAGUCCUUCAUGUGGUCUUCCCUCUUUUUUUUGUGUGGAACAUUUCCAAUUUCUCCAAACUUAGUUUAACUUUAAUGAAUUGAAUGCAAUUUCUGUUUUGCAAUGAA